UCUGAAUCUAAGAAAGCGAUCUUGGAUUCUUUUUUGAAAAUGGUAUUCUCAUGGGAGCAGUUAUAAAAAUUAUAGAGUUCAAAAAAUUGGCAAAUUGGAAGGAAGAAGAAAUGUUUCGUCCAAAUAUGUUUUUCCUCCUCUUGCUUCCUCCUAUUAUAUUUGAGUCAGGAUAUUCAUUACACAAGGGUAACUUCUUUCAAAAUAUUGGUUCCAUCACUCUGUUUGCUGUCUUCGGUACGGCAAUUUCCGCUUUUGUAGUAGGUGGAGGAAUUUAUUUUCUCGGUCAGGCUGAUGUAAUCUCUAAACUCAACAUGACAGACAGCUUUGCGUUUGGCUCCCUGAUUUCUGCUGUCGACCCGGUGGCCACUAUUGCUAUUUUCAACGCGCUUCACGUGGACCCGGUGCUCAACAUGCUGGUUUUUGGAGAGAGUAUUCUCAACGACGCAGUCUCCAUUGUCCUGACCAAGUGAGUGUCCUUUCUUCAAGGCCGGCACUUAAAGGUCCUGGUAUCAGAGGGACAGAGGUUCCUGGGCGGCUGCAGGGACAGCUGCUUGUCCUCUGGGCAGCUGGGUCACGAGCUUCUCCGUCUUCUGUCCUGACAAGCCCUGAUACACCCCAGCGAUGCUGUCAAGGCCUGGGCUGAUCAGAGGCAAGCCCGCCCUUUAGGACGACCUACCUUUCAGCAGUGGUUUCAAGUCCUGCUUCUUGUCCAUGUCCCUGGGGAUGCUUAUUAACCAGAGCAGUCCCAGGCCCCACCCUCUUAGCUUCUGAUUCAUGAGGUUCUUCAUUAGCUCCUCAAAUGAGGAGGGAGCAGCUGAUUGAGGGAUGGGUAUGUGGACAGCUUCGGUGCAGACGAAAGCAUUAGACAGAGGCCCUGCUCUCCCACAGAGGGGCUCUUGCCCAGCACCUUCCUUUCCACAGCUGUAGAAUAAGCCGGCGAUACUAACGGGUCCCAGCUGGGUAUGAUAUUGUGUGAAAGCUGCUUUGGACACUGUAAAUCUCUUUCAAAUGCUCAUCGGUAUCACUGCCCUUGUUGAUAGGAUCUGAGAAAUGAUAGAUGAAUCCUAAAAUGUCAAGAAGCCUUGAGAAAAAGAAAUGAAUCUAAGAUCAUCUCAAAUGCAUCUAUCUAAUGCAGGCUGUUUCCUUGAACUCUGUCUUUUGUGGUGCUUAUUAGCAUGUAUGGGCAGGAGAUCCAAACAGUUUUAGCAAAACCAGAGAAGGCACAGACAGUCAAAGCAGUGGGAGGAAAGCGCUCUGGACAGUGUUUCAAGAAUGAGCUAAGAGAAUCUUAGGAGCCGGCCUGUGUUCUGCUGAAGAAUAGACUUUCCAGGGCGCCUGGGUGGCUCAGUUAGUUGAGCGACUGCC
Non-coding RNA from Leptonychotes weddellii (Weddell seal), 1365 nucleotides. NCBI's taxonomy places the organism in Eukaryota, Metazoa, Chordata, Mammalia, Carnivora, Phocidae. The record is from RefSeq and is a predicted model, not a curated record.